AUUUAAAAAAAUAGUUAUUACAUCUAGUGAAAUUCAUGACCUAAACCAUGAGUUCGACCAAUUAAGCUGUGAAGCCUGGUCGACUCAAUUAUAGUAGAAACACAAAAAUAAAAAAGAGAGAACCAUAAUAUAAAACACGAAAAAAAAAUAUUAGUCAAAUUAUUGAUAUUUUUUUUAUUUUGGUUCGAAAGUUUGUUCUAUUUUUUUUUUUUUUGGUCAUUGAAUUGAGAGAGUAGAGAGAAAUUCAUCGAAAAACAUGAGAAGAAAGAGAAACUUGUAAAUUUUCAAGAUUUAAGCAAUAAAAAACAACAAUCUUGGUGUUAACAGGUUCCUUUCAACAAGAGGAGUUAGAUGAUGGUGAUUUUUUGUCUUUAUUUUGCAGGAAAAAGCAAAUCGAUGCUUGGAAAGUUUUGUGAUUUCAAGUUAUUUUUUCAAUUUCUAACUAAGCUUUUACUAUUUUAGCGAUUCUUUCUUUAAAGCGAAAGUGAAAGUACAGAUCGAGGCUUGUCAAAGAUAAGGGACUCGACUUCCCCUGCCUUAUUAAAGACUUCCCAACUUACCUAGCGGAAGAAAAAGAAAGGGGCAAGGACCUAUAAAAAUAUUUAGGUCACUUCCACCAACAACUAAAGCUAUUUCUUACUAGUGUGGAUUCUCCACAUACUCCAACUACUAGAAAGACUGAAACUAACUCCAAUCAGUCAACUACCAUCCAUGAGCGGAUACCAUCGAGUAACUAUCAAUGAAAGGUGAGAUCCGAAAACGUGCCUUCACCUCAUUGAAGGUUUAGAAUCCUUGGGCAAUAACAACAGUAUAGGAAGCAUCCAAUUGACACAGAUGUGGCACUUCCUUUCAUUUUGAUCGGGAGGCAUGUAUUAAAGGGAAAGAGGUUGGCUAUAAAUUGGUUUAUUGAUAGUAUUCAUUAUGUAAUGGGUUCGAACCCUUGUAUAUUUCCUCCGUGUAUUAAUUGUGAGAGUUGAUGUUGGGUGAGAUUUAAAUUCUCUAAGAUUUUUUUUUUCAUUUGAAAUUUUGUAAUGAGAAGUAUUUCAAAGCUUUCUACAA
Populus nigra (black poplar) is the source of this 1059-nucleotide long non-coding RNA. RefSeq lists it as uncharacterized. The record is from RefSeq and is a predicted model, not a curated record. The transcript has 2 exons. NCBI's taxonomy places the organism in Eukaryota, Viridiplantae, Streptophyta, Magnoliopsida, Malpighiales, Salicaceae.